RNAcentral lists this non-coding RNA (1626 nucleotides) under Saccharomyces cerevisiae (brewer's yeast). RNAcentral describes it as "small subunit ribosomal RNA". It matches the Rfam family "Bacterial small subunit ribosomal RNA". Lineage: Eukaryota; Fungi; Ascomycota; Saccharomycetes; Saccharomycetales; Saccharomycetaceae. The record is from RNAcentral.
AUUUAUAAGAAUAUGAUGUUGGUUCAGAUUAAGCGCUAAAUAAGGACAUGACACAUGCGAAUCAUACGUUUAUUAUUGAUAAGAUAAUAAAUAUGUGGUGUAAACGUGAGUAAUUUUAUUAGGAAUUAAUGAACUAUAGAAUAAGCUAAAUACUUAAUAUAUUAUUAUAUAAAAAUAAUUUAUAUAAUAAAAAGGAUAUAUAUAUAAUAUAUAUUUAUCUAUAGUCAAGCCAAUAAUGGUUUAGGUAGUAGGUUUAUUAAGAGUUAAACCUAGCCAACGAUCCAUAAUCGAUAAUGAAAGUUAGAACGAUCACGUUGACUCUGAAAUAUAGUCAAUAUCUAUAAGAUACAGCAGUGAGGAAUAUUGGACAAUGAUCGAAAGAUUGAUCCAGUUACUUAUUAGGAUGAUAUAUAAAAAUAUUUUAUUUUAUUUAUAAAUAUUAAAUAUUUAUAAUAAUAAUAAUAAUAAUAUAUAUAUAUAAAUUGAUUAAAAAUAAAAUCCAUAAAUAAUUAAAAUAAUGAUAUUAAUUACCAUAUAUAUUUUUAUAUGGAUAUAUAUAUUAAUAAUAAUAUUAAUUUUAUUAUUAUUAAUAAUAUAUUUUAAUAGUCCUGACUAAUAUUUGUGCCAGCAGUCGCGGUAACACAAAGAGGGCGAGCGUUAAUCAUAAUGGUUUAAAGGAUCCGUAGAAUGAAUUAUAUAUUAUAAUUUAGAGUUAAUAAAAUUAAUUAAAGAAUUAUAAUAGUAAAGAUGAAAUAAUAAUAAUAAUUAUAAGACUAAUAUAUGUGAAAAUAUUAAUUAAAUAUUAACUGACAUUGAGGGAUUAAAACUAGAGUAGCGAAACGGAUUCGAUACCCGUGUAGUUCUAGUAGUAAACUAUGAAUACAAUUAUUUAUAAUAUAUAUUAUAUAUAAAUAAUAAAUGAAAAUGAAAGUAUUCCACCUGAAGAGUACGUUAGCAAUAAUGAAACUCAAAACAAUAGACGGUUACAGACUUAAGCAGUGGAGCAUGUUAUUUAAUUCGAUAAUCCACGACUAACCUUACCAUAUUUUGAAUAUUAUAAUAAUUAUUAUAAUUAUUAUAUUACAGGCGUUACAUUGUUGUCUUUAGUUCGUGCUGCAAAGUUUUAGAUUAAGUUCAUAAACGAACAAAACUCCAUAUAUAUAAUUUUAAUUAUAUAUAAUUUUAUAUUAUUUAUUAAUAUAAAGAAAGGAAUUAAGACAAAUCAUAAUGAUCCUUAUAAUAUGGGUAAUAGACGUGCUAUAAUAAAAUGAUAAUAAAAUUAUAUAAAAUAUAUUUAAUUAUAUUUAAUUAAUAAUAUAAAACAUUUUAAUUUUUAAUAUAUUUUUUUAUUAUAUAUUAAUAUGAAUUAUAAUCUGAAAUUCGAUUAUAUGAAAAAAGAAUUGCUAGUAAUACGUAAAUUAGUAUGUUACGGUGAAUAUUCUAACUGUUUCGCACUAAUCACUCAUCACGCGUUGAAACAUAUUAUUAUCUUAUUAUUUAUAUAAUAUUUUUUAAUAAAUAUUAAUAAUUAUUAAUUUAUAUUUAUUUAUAUCAGAAAUAAUAUGAAUUAAUGCGAAGUUGAAAUACAGUUACCGUAGGGGAACCUGCGGUGGGCUUAUAAAUAUC